Molecule: ribosomal RNA, 506 nt
Filed under: Hyphomonas sp.
Lineage: Bacteria; Pseudomonadati; Pseudomonadota; Alphaproteobacteria; Hyphomonadales; Hyphomonadaceae
Description: bacterial SSU rRNA
Rfam family: Bacterial small subunit ribosomal RNA
Source: RNAcentral
AGCCUGAUGCAGCCAUGCCGCGUGAAUGAUGAAGGCCUUAGGGUUGUAAAAUUCUUUCGCUAGGGAUGAUAAUGACAGUACCUAGUAAAGAAGCCCCGGCUAACUUCGUGCCAGCAGCCGCGGUAAUACGAAGGGGGCUAGCGUUGUUCGGAAUUACUGGGCGUAAAGCGCACGUAGGCGGACUUUUAAGUCAGAUGUGAAAUCCCGGGGCUCAACCUCGGAACUGCAUUUGAAACUGGAAGUCUAGAGACCAGGAGAGGUUAGCGGAAUACCGAGUGUAGAGGUGAAAUUCGUAGAUAUUCGGUGGAACACCAGUGGCGAAGGCGGCUAACUGGACUGGUACUGACGCUGAGGUGCGAAAGUGUGGGGAGCAAACAGGAUUAGAUACCCUGGUAGUCCACACCGUAAACGAUGAGAGCUAGUUGUUGGCAGGCAUGCCUGUCGGUGACGCAGCUAACGCAUUAAGCUCUCCGCCUGGGGAGUACGGUCGCAAGAUUAAAACUCAA